GCUGAAUAUCUCCUCUCUGAAAUCUUGGGACCAGAAGUGUUUUGGAUUUUGGAUUUUUUUGGAUUUUGGAAUAUUUGCAUUGUAUACUUACUAGAUGGAGUCUCGCUCUGUUGCCCGGGCUGGAGUGCGGUGGUGUGAUCUCGGCUCGCUGCAAGCUCCGCCUCCCGGGUUCAUGCCAUUCUCCUGUCUCAGCCUCCCAAGUAGCUGGGACUACAGACCAAAGGAGAAGUCCCAUCUAACAUCCUUCUGUACAUCGUUACUGGAAAUGAAGAGCUGACAGUCAUAGACUGAUUGCCAAGCAGAACCCCACACUGCUUAACAGCUCGCACAGCGUUCCUGUUGACGUGUUGUUGCUGAGAGCACUUUCCAGUAAUCUUUCUGAACACAAAUCACCAGCUCAAUCUGUUUCCUGGGGAACUUGAACUACAACAGAAUGAUACUGGGGAGUUUGCAAAAUCAAACUAAACAUAGGCAGCACGAAGGACACAAAGCAGGGGAGCCCCAGAAAUCUUAGUGGUAGAAACCUUUAAACCUCUUAGGGUACCACCAGGGUAUCUCUGCUCAAUAUUUAAAUCCCUGGAAGGGAGCCUCUGAUUGGCCUUGUUUGGGUUGGGAAUCAGGGCCCUGUGAUCAGAACUACCUGGGAUAGUGGAGAGGAAAGAGAAGCAACCUGUGUCUUCCAGACCAUGGUAUCUGAAGUUUUCUUGGAGGAAGUCAAAUAAAUAUGUGGGUUGAGGAUGGGAGCUCUAAGCAGAGGAUGUGGUGGCUCAUUUAAGAUCACACAUUGACAAAGAGCAGAGUGGUGUCAAGAUUCUGGGACAGAGGCAAGUUAGAGAUAAAACUCUUGUUUUUCCCAAGGUCCAUCAUACAACUGAAAUGGAAGACUAUGGCUUGCUGACCAAUUCUUGCUCAUUUGGGGUUACUUUAUAUAGGGGGGUAAGUGUCCCUUCAGGUGGACUGAGAGUCACCAGAAGAUUUAGUGGAAGGACCCUGCCUCUGGGGAUGCAUAUGUAGCUGGUACUAAUGAGUACUUUCUAUGUAUCAGAAAGCCACCAAAUAUCACUCUUCCUCCCCUGAGUUCAGAACCACCUGACAGACAGACACAGGGGUCAUAUGGGGCUAGGUCGAAAGAUCAGCUUGAUUGAUAAUGGAUUGGUGGAUGUAGCCUGGGUAUACAGCUUCCUAGUACUAGACUCCUACAUCGGAGACAUCCAUUCUCCAACCAGUCACGAGAAGAACUGGCCAGAUACCGUAGUUUUUCUCAUUAGGGCAGGAGCUCAGUGCAUGGCAUGUCCACGCUGAAAGAAUGAGAGGAAAAAAUGAAUGGAAAAUACAGGUGGUAUUGAAGAAAGAGCACUCUUCCUGUGGGGGGUCAGAUCCAAAAUAAAGAAACCAGAUGGGGCUGAAUCUAACAUGCUCUGUUCCUUCUGUAUAACUCACCAUCCAGAGUGAGGAGGAGUGAGGGGAGGAGGAGCGAAAGGACAGGUGUGUCGCUCUGGCCAAAGUCCUUCCAUGUGCUCACAUGGAGCUGGGGAAGAGGAAGUGUGGAACAACUACUUUCCAUAUAUUUACAUAUAUUAGCAUAUCUAGUUUCACAACACUAUGAAGUAUCACUGUCCCGAUUUUAUAGAAGAGGAAACUGAGGCCAAGGCCAUCUUCCAAGGAUGUGCUUGCUUGGGAUUUGAACCAAGGAACUAAGUGUCCUCUGAUCUGAAAGCCCAUGUUCUUUUCAGUGCCCUUUACCUGCUCUUCAUUUGGAGUGCAGGGGAAGGGGAGGACUCCUGGCUCUCUUCUCCAGCCCUCACAGGGGUCCUGAAGCUUCCAGCUCACGUUGGACCUGGUUGCUUGAGUUACCUCAUGUACCUGAGUCUACAAAGGCUUCUAUGGGAAUGUGACAGAUUUGAAGGGGCAGUCACUGGGCCCGUACCAGGAAGGCUGGGAAUAGGGCUCCUUUCCUGUGGUGCUUAGCGUUGGUCUCCCCUGCAGGACCUAUACCCGCUUGCUAGACCAGGCUGUCCUCACAUGGCCAAAGAGGCUGCCACAAAGGCCUCACCUUGCCUCCCACCAGGACACCCUGGGCCAGGGCAAGAGUAGCUGCUUUAGCUCAGCCCUUCAGGUCAGGUCUGCAGUAAUCAGCUCCUUCCAAGGAAGGCUGGGCCCAACGGGGUCUCUGUUAGCUUAGGAAUGCCCUUUAGGCUUAAUUCUCUCUGGUUAUGAAUCCCCAAGACUCAACCCAUCCCCAGCUGGCUAGUCUAUUCUGUUGGACUCCGACAUUUUCCCCAAACCUGGCUUUUCUCUUGGUUUCCUUACAAGCCUUUGUGUCUUCACCAAGUUGUUACAUUUCUUGCUUUUUCAGUCUCUGCAGAUGUUCCAACCACUACACAUCCCCCCUCUCCCCCUCCAUACCCAUCUUCCUCUUCCUGUCUCCCUUUAUCCUUCUGUCUCUUCUUCCUCCUCUCUUCUUAUUGCUCAUCCCUGACCUCCGCCUCAACCUUCCCCUCUUUUCCUCUCUAAUCCUUCCCCUUGAACCCCAGGGAUAUAGGCCUGUCUGCAGAGGAAAGAUCUUUGUCACGUGAUUACUAAAUCCCCAACAUGUUAUUUGGUAGAAGGCAGCACAAUAGGAGUUUUCUUCUAGGGGCAAAGGGGCUAUAAAGGAUUUCCAAAUAUCAUAGAAAAUCACCUGAGGAUGCUGAGCUCAGGGCAGCUGCAGCAGGGGUGAAGGUAGGUCACAGCCCCCAACCCCCAUGGAGACGAAAGGUAACAAAAGGAGAGGGGAGAGUUCCAUACCUCAUUUUAUUCUCUUGACAGUUUUGCGCAGAAUUACCCCUGUCUGUAUUAUUAUCACUUGUAAAAGCAUUUUUUUCAUACCAUUUAAUCUAUCAGCCUUUUAUUAAAGCCUAGAUAAAAGUAGGAAAAAAAAAUCUCAUCAACAUCAGCCACCAGAAGGGAAAUUUCAGAGACUGAGAUGAUCAGAUUUCCAAGUUUAUUGAAAAACCUAUAGAUAACUGCAUGGCUGCUCAUGCUAUUUUAUAAAAUAAGUGCAGCCAGGCGGGCCAUUUAAUAACGUGGGAAUUGUCGACUGUGCGGAUAGUGGACAGAGCAUGAGCUCACCUCGUAAAGGCGUAGGCUCUCGCGGAAAUGAACACUGCGGCACACUGCGGGCCGGCAGCACAGCGUCACUCUGCAGACUGAGCCUCCCAGCUUCUCGGGAGCCGUCCACGGUGCAGCCAGCCACUAUGGGACACGGUGCCUAGGUCUUUCCAAGAACAGUAGAGCCCACACUUACCCCUCCCAUGUCAGCCACACUCUGGAGCUCACAUUUGGAGUAGUGAAAGGCUUUCAAAGGUAUUUAAUCUCACCACAAUCAUGAAAUAGGUAUGAAAACCCUCUUUUCCAAAUGAAGAAAUUGACCACCACAGGAGGGAAGGAACUUUGGUGAAUCCACAGAGUGGAGUGGCGGUGCUAGGGUGAUUACCUAGGGGUCCAGUUCCAGUUCCUGUUCUCCUUUUGCUCCAUUGGGCUUAUCCCAUCACCAAAAACAGUCUAGAGCCGGAGAUGUUAAAGAAACCACCCUUUGACCUGCAGGGUAAGUGUGUGAGAAUUGGUGGGUGGGUGGGGAUAGGGGAGUCAGGUUUGGGCAGUAGAACGGAGGAGUAAUGUAUACUCUAAAUAGGUUCAUUUCCUGACUCCCCCACUUAUCUGUGUGACCUCGUAUAUGUCACUUAACUUCUCUGUGCCUCUAUAAAAUGAGGAAUGAUAAUAAUAUCUACCUCAUAGGUUUGUGGUAAAGGUUAAAAGAGAUAAUGGAUCAAGCAUUUAAUACAGUAUAGUAAGUUGGAUAAAUGGUAUAGAGUUGGGCCCACUUUUGGAAUCAAAAGGAAUUUGUAAAAGUGCCUCACACAUGCCUGUCCUGUAGAGGUGAGCAAGUAUUUUCAAUCCCUUCUUGAUAUCUUUCCUGUGGCUAAGAAUCCUUACAGGCACUUGGGGCCCCUGCCUUCCUUGCUGUGGACUAGGAUGCCUGUAGGUACCAGGUUAGAAGAGUUGCUUCUUGGAAUUGCCAUGUGACUGUACAAUGUGCUAUCUGUGGCCCUGCCAUUGAUUCACAGUAUAACCUUGAGCUGACCUCAGUCUUACCUGGAUGGGCCUCUGUUUCCUUAGUUAUAAAGGGAUAAGGACAGAGCUACGUUUGAGGAAGUGUAGUUUGUGAACUUGUACACCAGAAUCAACUCCAUUGUUGAUGGCUGAAAAUGUUGAUUCAUGGGCCUUGCCCCAAGUUGGCUCAAUCACAAUCUCUAAUGGUGCUCUAGAAUGUAUAUUUGUAAAAAGCCCUCUCCACUUGCCCCAUGCCCUGGCCUAACUCUCAGAGAUUCUGAUAUAAUUGACCAUUAAUACAUAAUGAAAGUAAAUAAUGGAUUAAUAAAUUAAAAAUUGAUUUACUUUUUAA
Pan troglodytes (chimpanzee) is the source of this 4444-nucleotide long non-coding RNA. RefSeq lists it as uncharacterized. Lineage: Eukaryota; Metazoa; Chordata; Mammalia; Primates; Hominidae. The transcript is spliced from 4 exons. The record is from RefSeq and is a predicted model, not a curated record.